Hemiscyllium ocellatum (epaulette shark) is the source of this 228-nucleotide long non-coding RNA. RefSeq lists it as uncharacterized. The transcript is spliced from 3 exons. The record is from RefSeq and is a predicted model, not a curated record. NCBI's taxonomy places the organism in Eukaryota, Metazoa, Chordata, Chondrichthyes, Orectolobiformes, Hemiscylliidae.
ACAAACUCUGUAACUUCUUCCGCCAAACCACACCCAGAACUACUUCUGCACGCACACAGGAAAAUGAGAAAGAAGAAUUCUCAAAGAUUUGGAUGUAAAUUCUCAAAAACAUUUAAAGGAGAGCAAGACUGAUCCGAAGUUUAUGGAACCAGAAAAUGAGACAAAUUGCAAGACAGCUAUAAGAACUGUGGAACAGAGCAGUGUGAUGGUGAGAGCAAUUAAAAAUCA